AUUGAACGCUGGCGGCAUGCCUUACACAUGCAAGUCGAACGGUAACAGGUCUUCGGAUGCUGACGAGUGGCGAACGGGUGAGUAAUACAUCGGAACGUGCCUAGUAGUGGGGGAUAACUACUCGAAAGAGUGGCUAAUACCGCAUGAGAUCUACGGACGAAAGCAGGGGAUCGCAAGACCUUGUGCUACUAGAGCGGCGGAUGGCAGAUUAGGUAGUUGGUGGGAUAAAAGCUUACCAAGCCGACGAUCUGUAGCUGGUCUGAGAGGACGAUCAGCCACACUGGGACUGAGAAACGGCCCAGACUCCUACGGGAGGCAGCAGUGGGGAAUUUUGGACAAUGGGCGCAAGCCUGAUCCAGCAAUGCCGCGUGCAGGAUGAAGGCCUUCGGGUUGUAAACUGCUUUUGUACGGAACGAAAAGCCCCGGGUUAAUACCCUGGGGUCAUGACGGUACCGUAAGAAUAAGCACCGGCUAACUACGUGCCAGCAGCCGCGUAA
Molecule: ribosomal RNA, 497 nt
Filed under: uncultured bacterium
Lineage: Bacteria
Description: partial 16S ribosomal RNA
Rfam family: Bacterial small subunit ribosomal RNA
Source: RNAcentral